CAGUCGCCGCGGUAAUACAGAGGGUGCGAGCGUUAAUCGGAUUUACUGGGCGUAAAGCGUGCGUAGGCGGCUUUUUAAGUCGGAUGUGAAAUCCCUGAGCUUAACUUAGGAAUUGCAUUCGAUACUGGGAAGCUAGAGUAUGGGAGAGGAUGGUAGAAUUCCAGGUGUAGCGGUGAAAUGCGUAGAGAUCUGGAGGAAUACCGAUGGCGAAGGCAGCCAUCUGGCCUAAUACUGACGCUGAGGUACGAAAGCAUGGGGAGCAAACAGGAUUAGAGACCCGUGUAGUCCCUGUCUCUUAUAA
RNAcentral lists this ribosomal RNA (301 nucleotides) under uncultured bacterium. RNAcentral's name for it is "partial 16S ribosomal RNA". It matches the Rfam family "Bacterial small subunit ribosomal RNA", at positions 509 to 809 of the family's 1533-position model. The record is from RNAcentral.